AGAGUUUGAUCCUGGCUCAAAUUGAACGCUAGCGGGAUGCUUUACACAUGCAAGUCGAACGGCAGCACGAGAGAGCUUGCUCUCUUGGUGGCGAGUGGCGGACGGGUGAGUAAUAUAUCGGAACGUGCCCAGUCGCGGGGGAUAACUACUCAAAAGAGUGGCUAAUACUGCAUACACCCUACGGGGGAAAGGGGGGGAUCGCAAGACCUCUCACUAUUGGAGCGGCCGAUAUCGGAUUAGCUAGUUGGUGGGGUAAAGGCUCACCAAGGCAACGAUCCGUAGCUGGUUUGAGAGGACGACCAGCCACACUGGGACUGAGACUCGGCCCACACUCCUACGGGAGGCAGCAGUGGGGAAUUUUGGACAAUGGGGGAAACCCUGAUCCAGCCAUCCCGCGUGUAUGAUGAAGGCCUUCGGGUUGUAAAGUACUUUUGGCAGAGAAGAAAAGGCAUCCCCUAAUACGGGAUGCUGCUGACGGUAUCUGCAGAAUAAGCACCGGCUAACUACGUGCCAGCAGCCGCGGUAAUACGUAGGGUGCAAGCGUUAAUCGGAAUUACUGGGCGUAAAGCGUGUGUAGGCGGUUCGGAAAGAAAGAUGUGAAAUCCCAGGGCUCAACCUUGGAACUGCAUUUUUAACUGCCGAGCUAGAGUAUGUCAGAGGGGGGUAGAAUUCCACGUGUAGCAGUGAAAUGCGUAGAUAUGUGGAGGAAUACCGAUGGCGAAGGCAGCCCCCUGGGAUAAUACUGACGCUCAGACACGAAAGCGUGGGGAGCAAACAGGAUUAGAUACCCUGGUAGUCCACGCCCUAAA
RNAcentral lists this ribosomal RNA (809 nucleotides) under uncultured bacterium. Its description in RNAcentral is "bacterial SSU rRNA". It matches the Rfam family "Bacterial small subunit ribosomal RNA", at positions 8 to 806 of the family's 1533-position model. The record is from RNAcentral.